RNAcentral lists this long non-coding RNA (2276 nucleotides) under Polistes dominula (European paper wasp). RNAcentral describes it as "uncharacterized LOC107066602, transcript variant X2". The record is from RNAcentral. Lineage: Eukaryota; Metazoa; Arthropoda; Insecta; Hymenoptera; Vespidae.
CAUAAAUUGUUAAUCGUAAUUAUGCUUAUCGAUAUGCUGAUUAAAUUAGAUUUUAAUGAUCAUAGAAAACUCAAACUACAUCGACGUUUUGUUAAAAGAUAACAUUGAGUUAUUACUUUUUUACGAACAACGAACCUUUACAUAUCUUUUUUCAAUCGAAUUUAAAACAUUGUCUUGUUUAUUCUUUUUACAAGAAACAAUAGCAUUGAUUAUAAAAAAAAAGAAAACGGUUCAAUAGUAUCGUUGAAAAGGAGUCAGUCACACGUCGUAUAACGUGGACAACGACAUAUUUCCCCUACCCUUGUUCAUCCGCACAUUGUGGCGGCAGCAGCAGCAACAGAAACAUCAGCGACAGCAACGCAACAGUCGACAGUAAAGCAUGGUACAGAAAAGCUGUAAAUGAAUGCUGAAAAUCUAAUUUUGGAAAUAUUACAAAAUUCUUCUUGAUUUUAACAACCACGUACAUAAAAUAGCCGAUCGAACAACGAGAACGAUGACGACAACGACAACGACGACGACGAGGAAGAAGACUCUAUAACGAACACCAAAUCAGGGGGGGGGAUGUUUUCAGCUAGGUUAGUAGCGCGUUACUAGCGUUCGUCGAAUGAGUAGCACGUAUAUAGGGGUGGAGCAGAAGAGCCACCCGGAACGGCUGGGGUGGUAAUCGUUACUCCCGUCUACCAGCCUGUCUACCGACCCUUUACUGGACUCUGAACGUUUCACCUCUAACAGAGACACUACCUCUCACCAAAGACACCAACCAACAUCGCAGCAAACCCAUACCAACCAUCCAACCAACCAACUCACCCCUCUCGAGAAACGCGCGCUCGCUCGCUGAUUUUCUCGAGCUUCUUUUUCUCAAACUUCAACAAUCCAUUCUCCUUCCUUUUUCAACCCCCCACCCCUUUGUACUCCUCCUCCUUCACCCCCACUACCAACGCGCAACUGCUUCAAGCGCGAUGGAAGAAAAUAUCGACCGGGGAGCCCUUUUGGCGCGCACCGCGCCACCGAAGAUGCGAAACACGCUCCUUUCUCGACAUUCCGAAUACGGAAACUUCGAGAAUGGUGCUGCCAUCAUUGGAGUUUUCAUUCAAGUCCUGUUUAUGAAAGAAAAGCCCCCCCCCCUGACGCCUGCGCAAAUCUUCUUUACACGGAUUUUGUCAUUCUUCGAAAACAUCAAACUACUACGAACUCUCGGGAUAAAAAUGUCUCAUGUGAACAUUGGAAAAAUAAAUAAAGUUUUCGCGUUAAAAGUAAAAACUGUUAAUAAAAACUGGUCAAUUACUUUUUAUUAGAAAAUUGACACCUUUUUUUAUCAAAAUUCUAUUAUCAAGACUAUAAAUUCGACGGAUACAUUUUUUUCAAUUAGACUAUUAAUUGUUAACAGGUUUGACAAUAAUUCUAUAUCUUUGAAUUAGAUCAUUUUUCACAGUUAGCAGUGUGCAUUGGCCUUGAAAUUGUUUAAUGUUUUAUCCCUUGCACAUAAAAAAAAUCUUAACGCAUUUCUUUCAAACUAGCGAUUAACUUUUCUGAAGGAAUAUAAUUUUAUUUGUAAGAAAAUACGAGAGCUGUGAUUGUAUAAAGAUAUUAUUAAAACGAGUUCCUCAAAUGAAUUAAAUUAAACGCUUUUCACUCGCAUAUUUUCGCUCAAGUGAGAACAAAUCUUGAUCGCGAUCUGGUCACUUAAAUGUACAAAUUAAUCUUGACACGAGAUAAAAAAAUCUAGGUUGAUAGAACUACAUAUGUAAUAGAUGUAUUACAGUUAUUUUACAAAUACAUAUAUAUAUGAUAGAUAACGAGGAUGAAUUGAACGAGUUGGACGACUAUCAGGUAUAUUGGUCGCAGAAGCUGGAAAGGUCACUCUUUCGCGCAACUUGUACGGACCAGUUUGCCUCUAUGCCCUCUAUUUCCUUGAAGUACUCUCUCCCAUCAUCUUCCAGUUUCUACUCUUACAGUUUUCUCAAUCAUAGUAUGCUAGGAAUACAUAUACAUAUACCAAUAAAUAUGUGUUGGGUUGCCCUAUUAAUAGUUCACGUUAGAAACAAAAUAUUUUUAAAUAAAUUAGCAAUACAUAUCUACAUAUACCAAUAAAUAUGCGUUGGAUUGCCGUAAUUCAUUGUAAAAAAAAGGAAGAAAAUAUUUUUAGUACAAAAAUUUCUCAUCGAUAAGACUACUACUCUCCAAGAUAUUAUUAAAAAGGUAAUCAUGGUUGCUAAUUGGAGAAAAAAAAAAUAAUAUAAAAUAUAUUUAAAAAAAGAAAGUCUGAACUCGUAACU